UACAGAGGUCCCAAGCGUUGUUCGGAUUUACUGGGCGUAAAGGGUGCGUAGGCGGCCAAAAAAGUCUGAUGUGAAAUCUCGGAGCUCAACUCCGGAACUGCAUUGGAUACUAGUUGGCUUGAGGAGUGGAGGGGAGACUGGAAUUCUCGGUGUAGCAGUGAAAUGCGUAGAUAUCGAGAGGAACACCAGUGGCGAAGGCGAGUCUCUGGACAUCUCCUGACGCUGAGGCACGAAAGCCAAGGGAGCAAACGGG
This 253-nucleotide ribosomal RNA is filed under the name uncultured bacterium. Its description in RNAcentral is "partial 16S ribosomal RNA". It matches the Rfam family "Bacterial small subunit ribosomal RNA", at positions 524 to 776 of the family's 1533-position model. The record is from RNAcentral.